RNAcentral lists this ribosomal RNA (463 nucleotides) under uncultured bacterium. RNAcentral's name for it is "partial 16S ribosomal RNA". It matches the Rfam family "Bacterial small subunit ribosomal RNA", at positions 29 to 507 of the family's 1533-position model. The record is from RNAcentral.
ACGCACGCUGGCGGCGUGCUUCACACAUGCAAGUCGCACGGUAAGGCCCUUUCGGGGGUACCCGAGUGGCGACCGGGUGAGUAACACGUGGGUGAUCUGCCCUGCACUUUGGGAUAAGCCUGGGAAACUGGGUCUAAUACCGGAUAGGACUACGCGAUGCAUGUCGUGUGGUGGAAAGCUUUUGCGGUGUGGGAUGGGCCCGCGGCCUAUCAGCUUGUUGGUGGGGUGAUGGCCUACCAAGGCGACGACGGGUAGCCGGCCUGAGAGGGUGUCCGGCCACACUGGGACUGAGAUACGGCCCAGACUCCUACGGGAGGCAGCAGUGGGGAAUAUUGCACAAUGGGCGCAAGCCUGAUGCAGCGACGCCGCGUGGGGGAUGACGGCCUUCGGGUUGUAAACCCCUUUCAGCACAGACGAAGCGUAAGUGACGGUAUGUGCAGAAGAAGCACCGGCCAACUACGUG